GACGAACCGUGCGAACGUUAUUCGGAAUCACUGGGCUUAAAGCGCGUGUAGGCGGGCGGGAACGUCGGUUGCUGAAAGCCCCCGGCUCAACCGGGGAACGGGCGCCGAAACGACCCGCCUCGAGGGACGUAGGGGGACCUGGAACUUCCGGUGGAGCGGUGAAAUGCGUUGAGAUCGGAAGGAACCCCUGUGGCGAAAGCGGCUCACUGGACCACAACUGACGCUGAGGCGCGAAAGCUAGGGGAGCAAACAGG
This 254-nucleotide ribosomal RNA is filed under the name uncultured bacterium. RNAcentral's name for it is "partial 16S ribosomal RNA". It matches the Rfam family "Bacterial small subunit ribosomal RNA", at positions 524 to 776 of the family's 1533-position model. The record is from RNAcentral.